Molecule: long non-coding RNA, 396 nt
Organism: Panicum virgatum (switchgrass)
Lineage: Eukaryota; Viridiplantae; Streptophyta; Magnoliopsida; Poales; Poaceae
Exons: 3
Source: RefSeq, a predicted model, not a curated record
GGCUUGGAGUGUACACAUUGUCUACUCUUAGUGGAUCAUGUUUUCGUGUGAUUCUGAAGGUUACCCCCGAUCUUCGGCUUUCGCCCUUCAUGGGUCUUGCACCUUCGAUCGGUCUUCCAGAAGCCUCCCCGUGCCGAGCCAGCAUGUCUCCAAUAGACUCGAAGGUCUCAGGGGGCUUCCUUCUAUAUCGAGUGGAUCAUCGACAACCUUCUGUCUUCGAUCGAGAUUAUACUGAUUCGUGUGAUGGAGCGACUGGCUGCAAAAUUUGAAGACACAGGGGAAAAUGCCAAGCAACCUUUGUCCUGCAAUAUAUGGAAGAAUUUCUAUUCUUUCCUUAGUACUCUUAUGGCAGAGGUGGCUAUAUAAAUGAAUCAUAUUCUCUGUAAUAUUUGAACA